CCAAAGCUGGUCAACGUGUUGACUUCUAGGCCCGGCCCAAAACAUUCUUUACUUGCAAAACCGCAAAGUAACCCUAAGACAAACUCUUGACUUAGCCAACCUGCAAAAGAGAGAGGGGUGAGCAAUCGAAGAUUACUCUGCGAGGGUAAGCCUUAGGGCUCACGAAGUCUCCAUACACAAACACGUUUAGACAAUCACAAAGUCUAAACCUAAGACAAGCAGGCAAUCAUGUGUCAAUGACACACACACAUCAAACAAAUGAGACUACGUCCCAUAACCACCACCACACAUGCGGGCAGGAUACGACGUGUCCACUCACGCCGUCAUCCCGUACAUAUCACUCGUGCGUACCGGAUCCCUCAUGCCUAAACAUUUCUUCCGUGCACUUUCUCAUCUCGUCGGCUCGUCAGCCAUCCUGACCUAUCCGCUUUCCGCGUCCAUAGACCACCAUACAACUACAAGGAUUUCUCCAUGCAGGACUCUCCGCGGCUCACCCGCAUCUCCGUGCUCUUCGCACAUUAUCACCUCACACUCAAACAAUCGAUUUUACCACACAAAAACAUGCAUUUCACAUAUCACACAGCACACAUAAAAAUAUCCAUUUUAUUUUCCAUCUUUAAGAUACUAAUUCUUUUUCUUUAUAUUUUAUAUAAAAAUAUAUAUUUAUAUAUGUAUAAAUAUUAAUACACUCAACAGACAAAUACGAUUACUCAUAAUAUAUGUAACUCGCAAGUAUACUCGGCUUAACCCUAAACUAAGUAACUAUCUAAACAUAUCGGUAUACGAAGAAGACACCAACUUGUCCUCACCUUGGCAACUCGGUUGACUUUUGGUUUAGGCUAGCAACAACGGAAAUCUGGUUCAACGACGAUCUCGGUCUUUCUCUGCAACUUUUCUCGACGGCAUAACUUGACGGUUUGGCGAGGUGGGUUUGCAACGGUGCACUCCCACAGUGGCUACGUCCUCAUGGCUCAACCAUCAAAAGCAAAACAUGGCAACAAUCAAUCAAUCAUAACACAUAUCAGAAACUUCUUACGCAAGUUAAAGAAUAGAUCUAGGGUUUCCUUACCCUUAACGGCCUAGACGAUGGCUACGGCUGUUCCGGAGGCAGCGGCUCA
Molecule: long non-coding RNA, 1118 nt
Filed under: Arabidopsis lyrata
Lineage: Eukaryota; Viridiplantae; Streptophyta; Magnoliopsida; Brassicales; Brassicaceae
Description: long non-coding RNA (ALYR_LNC002796)
Source: RNAcentral